Non-coding RNA from Delphinapterus leucas (beluga whale), 1244 nucleotides. The record is from RefSeq and is a predicted model, not a curated record. Lineage: Eukaryota; Metazoa; Chordata; Mammalia; Artiodactyla; Monodontidae.
UUAAGCUCUCCUCCAUCUUUGGUGCCGUUCCUUACAUUUGGUGCCGAAACCCGGGAGGGGUACCAAGCCCCGCGGGUUACCAUGCGGGCCGCUCCUCCCCUCCCCCAGGAGACAACCAGGGAACCUCUACUCAUCCACCGGAUCCGGCAGAAAACGGGCCCUGUCCCAGCUGCAGGCUAACGGGCCACUGGAAGAGUGACUGCCCUACGACUGGCCCUCCCUCAGCGUCUCCACGCGGGGGGCAAGCCGACCCAAUGGCAUUACCACUCGAACUGCUGGGAUUGGCUGACGACUGACGGCGCCCGGACUCGAAGACCCCCAUCACCCUCGCCGAGCCCCAGAACAGAAACUCCAGCUAGCCAUCGAGGCUUCUGCCACCUCCAUCACCUCCUUCCAGCGCCAGAUCACCUCAGUAGCCCGAGUCGCUCUCCAGAAUCAACGAGCCCUUGAUCUCCUGACGGCCGACAAAGGAGGUACCUGCCUCUUCCUACAGGAGGAAUGCUGCUAUUACAUCAAUGAAACAGGACUCGUCGAAGACAACGUAAACGCCCUCCAUCGCUUAAGAGAAGAACUUCAAUGAAAACACCAACAGUCCGCCUCCCCAGUCCCCAAUUGGUGGCGAUCCACCCUCUAUACCUGGCUAACACCGAUCUUAGGCCCCUUAAUUCUCAUCUGUAUCUUGUUCACGCUUGCUCCCUGUUUUCUUAGGUUCCUUCGCAGGCGCAUGGAGGAAGUCUCUCGGGUGGCCACAAACCAAAUGCUCCUCGGCCCUUACACCUUGCUUCCUACAGAGCCCCCCAAUGGUCUCCCUUAAGCCUCGGACCUCUGGUCGCCCGACUCCCCUUUCGACACCCCCAUUCAGCAAGAAGUAGCCAGAGAUUAGAACGCCGCCCCAUUACACCAAAGAUGUCGGGAUGUAAGGCCAACUGGCCCGAGGCAGGGGAACACAAUCAGACUCACAGGUUGCAUCAGACCAAAACUUUCCGGACCACCCAGUUCCAGAAACUGACCUGGAGACUUUCCGGACCACCCAGUUCCAGGAACUGACCUGGCGACUUUCCACCCGGCCCAGCCUUCCCGCCUUUCGAGGGGCGGGACUAACAGUCCCAAGACUGAUGCGACCGGCACCGGAUAUUGCCACGAUACCCGAAGAGACCACCAAAUAAGGAAUAACCUGCACCCUCCCGGAUUCACCACACCCCUUUCCCUUCUUCCCCUAUAAAUUCUGCCCAAACCCUCGCCCG